Molecule: ribosomal RNA, 442 nt
Filed under: Blastocystis sp.
Lineage: Eukaryota; Bigyra; Opalinata; Blastocystidae
Description: SSU rRNA
Rfam family: Eukaryotic small subunit ribosomal RNA
Source: RNAcentral
UUAUCUGGUUGAUCCUGCCAGUAGUCAUACGCUCGUCUCAAAGAUUAAGCCAUGCAUGUGUAAGUAUAAAUAGUUAACUUUGAAACUGCGAAUGGCUCAUUAUAUCAGUUAUAGUUUAUUUGAUGAAGAAUACUAAUUGGAUAACCGUAGUAAUUCUAGAGCUAAUACAUGUAUAAAGUCUUGUAGACUGCAUUUAUUAGAAUGAAAACCAUAGGUUUCGGCCUAUUCGUGAGUAAUAAUAACUAAUCAUAUCGUAUGCUUAUGUAACGAUGUGUCUUUCAAGUUUCUGCCCUAUCAGCUUUCGAUGGUAGUGUAUUGGACUACCAUGGCAGUAACGGGUAACGAAGAAUUUGGGUUCGAUUUCGGAGAGGGAGCCUGAGAGAUGGCUACCACAUCCAAGGAAGGCAGCAGGCGCGUAAAUUACCCAAUCCUGACACAGGGA